AGUGAACGCUGGCGGUAGGCCUAACACAUGCAAGUCGAACGGCAGCACAGUAAGAGCUUGCUCUUACGGGUGGCGAGUGGCGGACGGGUGAGGAAUACAUCGGAAUCUACUUUUUCGUGGGGGAUAACGUAGGGAAACUUACGCUAAUACCGCAUACGACCUACGGGUGAAAGCAGGGGAUCUUCGGACCUUGCGCGAUUGAAUGAGCCGAUGUCGGAUUAGCUAGUUGGCGGGGUAAAGGCCCACCAAGGCGACGAUCCGUAGCUGGUCUGAGAGGAUGAUCAGCCACACUGGAACUGAGACACGGUCCAGACUCCUACGGGAGGCAGCAGUGGGGAAUAUUGGACAAUGGGCGCAAGCCUGAUCCAGCCAUACCGCGUGGGUGAAGAAGGCCUUCGGGUGGUAAAGCCCUUUUGUUGGGAAAGAAAAGCAGCAGGUUAAGACCCCGCUGUUCUGACGGUACCCAAAGAAUAAACACCGGCUAACUUCGU
RNAcentral lists this ribosomal RNA (491 nucleotides) under uncultured bacterium. RNAcentral describes it as "partial 16S ribosomal RNA". It matches the Rfam family "Bacterial small subunit ribosomal RNA", at positions 29 to 506 of the family's 1533-position model. The record is from RNAcentral.